RNAcentral lists this long non-coding RNA (267 nucleotides) under Elaeis guineensis (African oil palm). RNAcentral describes it as "long non-coding RNA (EGUI_LNC024539)". Lineage: Eukaryota; Viridiplantae; Streptophyta; Magnoliopsida; Arecales; Arecaceae. The record is from RNAcentral.
UAAGAACCCAGUCCCCUUUUUUUCCCUCCUCCACAAUUUUAAAGCAGAAGCCAAAAAAAACUUGAACCUCGCAUGAGGAGGACUCCCGAUGGAGUCCGCCUCCUCUCCCCGAGUUCGAUCCGGACAGGGAAUCUGGAGCUCACCAGAUCUCUAGUUUCCGGUUAUAACAAGUCAUCCCCUUUCUCUAAGCAACUCGCCUCCAAUCCUCGAUCAACACCGGCGAAAAUCCGAGGGAGAUUGUUCGAUUUCCCGUUGAGAUCUCUCGGU